AACCCAAAAUAUCAAACCAUAGCCCAUAGACGUUAGGGAUAAAUUUACUUUGAUCACCUCAGGGACGCACGAAAACAGCACAGAAGCUCGAAAACCAGGAAGCCAUGGGAGGAACAGCAAGAACCCUCUUGGCCCUGUCUCUAAGUUCGAACCUCUUCGCUCUCUCUCGACUCUCUUAUGCGCCCAAACGAUUCUCACUUCCCAAAACCACCAGGGUUUUUGUAGGGUUUAGGCCCCUAUGCACUACUAUUACUCCCACCACGCCCACUACAAGCCUUGCGGAACCAGAGCAAAUGAAGCACUCAAUUCUUCUCGAGAGACUGAGGCUCAGACACCUCAAAGAAUCUGCCAAACCCCCACAAACUAGAAAUCCAAAAUCAGCCACUGCUGCUGGGAGUGAAAAUGAGGAUGGGUCCAAGAAGAAGAAGACUGGGAAGAGGGUGGUUGAGAGUUUUGAGGAGCUGGGUUUGAGUGAGGAGGCGAUGGGGGCUGUGAGGGAGAUGGGUAUUGAGGUUCCUACUGAGAUUCAGUCUAUUGGGAUCCCGGCCGUCUUUGAAGGGAAGAGUGUGGUUUUGGGUUCCCACACUGGGUCUGGCAAAACUCUGGCUUACAUGCUGCCCCUUGUUCAGUUGCUGAGACGGGAUGAGGCAUUGUUUGGUAUGCUAACGAGGCCUAGGCGCCCUCGAGCUGUUGUGCUAUGCCCCACAAGGGAGUUAUCUGAGCAGGUAUUUCGUGUUGCAAAGUCAAUUGGUCAUCAUGCACGGUUCCGUUGUACCAUGGUAAGCGGUGGUGGCCGCCUAAAACCCCAGGAGAAUUCAUUAAAUAACCCAAUUGAUAUGGUAGUUGGGACCCCUGGCAGGGUUCUCCAACAUAUUGAGGAGGGCAACAUAGUGUAUGGAGACAUCAAGUACUUGGUGUUGGAUGAGGCUGACACCAUGUUUGAUCGUGGCUUUGGUCCUGAAAUUCGAAAGUUUCUUGGCCCAUUAAAAAAUCGUGCAUCAAAGGCUGACACCGAAGGGUUCCAAACAAUUUUGGUCACUGCAACAAUGACAAAGGCAGUGCAAAACCUGAUUGAUGAGGAAUUUGAAGGCAUUGUACAUUUGCGCACAUCAACGCUGCAUAAGAAAGUGGCAUCUGCUCGCCAUGAUUUCAUCAAACUUUCAGGUUCUGAAAACAAGAUGGAAGCUUUAUUACAGGUUCUGGAGCUAAGUUUGGCAAAGGGAAACAGAGUGAUGGUAUUCUGUAACACAUUAAAUUCUAGCCGUGCUGUGGAUCACUUUCUGGGUGAAAAUCAGAUUUCCACAGUCAAUUAUCAUGGCGAGGUGCCUGCAGAGCAAAGGGUUGAAAACCUCAAUAGGUUUAAGAGUAAUGAAGGAGAUUGCCCUACGUUGGUGUGCACAGACUUGGCUGCCAGGGGACUCGACUUGGACGUAGAUCAUGUUAUCAUGUUUGAUUUCCCCUUGAACUCUAUUGAUUACCUUCAUCGCACGGGAAGAACUGCUCGCAUGGGUGCAAAAGGGAAAGUAACAAGUUUGGUUGCUAAAAAGGAUCUCCUGUUGGCCACCCGAAUAGAGGAGGCCAUGAGGAAGAAUGAGAGCUUGGAGUCUCUUACCACAGACAAUGUUCGAAGGGAUGUUGCCAGGGCCCGAAUAACUGGGAGCAAGGUGAUGAAUGCUAAAUCACUUAAAGUUUCACAGCAGAAAAAUAAGGUCGUACUGAAAGGUAAAAAGACAUCUGCUCCAGCAAAAUCUACCAAGCCAGCAGUUAAGGUCUCAAAAUCAAUAAAAUCAUCCACUGCUAGUACCUCAAGAAAACCAUCUUCAGGAGGGAAGAAGCAAACGGCCAGCAGAAGGUCAAGUUCUGUUCAAACCACAACUACAAAGCUAAGCGUUGUUGGGUUUAGGGGGCGCAAUUCUUGGACUAAUCAGAAAGGAGCAACCGUGUCCCGUUGAACGAGGUUAAAUUUUGGGUUAACUUUGCAAUUGCAUUUGUGAACAUUCUUCUGGCAUUUCACUCCCAUGAGUAUGUUCUCCUUACAAAUGGAAAGCUCACCACUAAACAUGCUCUUGCCGCAUCAGGAUUGUUGCUCUAACAUUGAGCUAUGUUACAAGGUUCUCAUUGUUGGAACCAUAGCAAGAAGAGUCAUGGUUGUUCGGCCCUGGUCGAAAUGUGCUUUGGAAGAGUAUGCAUCAAGAGAAUGGGUUAUGCUCAAGAUAGUAAGAGGGUUUAUGUAAUCUUCAAGCCGGCUUGAUGGGGGUGUUAGAUCGUGCAGAUUUAUUGGAGUUUAGCUGACUUUUGACUUAGUAGUUUGGUUUUGGUGGUUCUUGAAAAUAGUAUGGUGUUGGUGAUCUUUCACAUCCACUUCUCUUUGUGAUGCAACUUUUACUUCAUUUGUUUCCGUUUCGGUUCAAAUGUUUUGUUUCAUGUAUGAAUUGAUACAUCUCCUACUCUUUCUCUCCUAAGAAGAGUGACGGUACUCUCAAUUUUAUUAA
Carya illinoinensis is the source of this 2492-nucleotide RNA transcript. It is a transcript of the gene named DEAD-box ATP-dependent RNA helicase 39-like, with no coding region annotated. The record is from RefSeq and is a predicted model, not a curated record. The transcript has 10 exons. NCBI's taxonomy places the organism in Eukaryota, Viridiplantae, Streptophyta, Magnoliopsida, Fagales, Juglandaceae.